This 333-nucleotide ribosomal RNA is filed under the name uncultured bacterium. RNAcentral describes it as "bacterial SSU rRNA". It matches the Rfam family "Bacterial small subunit ribosomal RNA", at positions 28 to 334 of the family's 1533-position model. The record is from RNAcentral.
GAUGAACGCUGGCGGCGUGCUUAACACAUGCAAGUCGAACGGAGAUAUGAAGCGAGCGGGAAGUGCUUGCACAGAACAAUCAUUUCAUAACUUAGUGGCGGACGGGUGAGUAACGCGUGGGUAACCUGCCUUAUACCGGGGGAUAACACUUAGAAAUAGGUGCUAAUACCGCAUAAGCGCACAGUAUCGCAUGAUACAGUGUGAAAAACUCCGGUGGUAUAAGAUGGACCCGCGUCUGAUUAGCUUGUUGGCGGGGUGACGGCCUACCAAGGCGAUGAUCAGUAGCCGGUCUGAGAGGAUGAACGGCCACAUUGGGACUGAGACACGGCCCAG